GAAGGCGCCGGCCUGAGAGCCUGAGGGGAGUCGCCAAGCGUGCGGCGCUAGGCUCGGGCUUCCCGCUCAAACGAGUUCAGGCUGCACCCUGUGGGGCUUUGCCUUCAAUCGCUCUCUGUGACCGUUGUGUUUUCUAUCCCACAGUCAGAGCACAGGAACAGUUUUCUUCAGGCUUUUGAAAGAGGUUUAUGAACGAAGCACCUGAUUUCCACCUAUAAUACUGUAAUUCAAUAACUUGUGUGAUAUAUGAAAAAUCCUGAAGUUCAUCACACUGUAACUGAAUUGCCAUUCCCACAACACUCCAGAGAGGUCUCUUGCCCUCUUUUUGCCAUGUGAGGAUACAAGAAGAUGGCAGUCUGCAACCAAGACGGCUCUCACCAGAACCCAACCAUGCUGGUAAUCUGAUCUCAGACUUCCAGCUCCAGAGCUGUAAGAAAUAAAUUUCUGUCACUUAUAAGCC
RNAcentral lists this non-coding RNA (460 nucleotides) under Pongo abelii (Sumatran orangutan). Lineage: Eukaryota; Metazoa; Chordata; Mammalia; Primates; Hominidae. The record is from RNAcentral.